RNAcentral lists this ribosomal RNA (494 nucleotides) under uncultured bacterium. RNAcentral describes it as "partial 16S ribosomal RNA". It matches the Rfam family "Bacterial small subunit ribosomal RNA", at positions 28 to 507 of the family's 1533-position model. The record is from RNAcentral.
GACGAACGCUGGCGGCGUGCUUAACACAUGCAAGUCGAACGGUGAAGCGCCUUCCUUUUUGGUGGGUGUGGAUGAGUGGCGAACGGGUGAGUAACACGUGAGUAACCUGCCCCCUUCUUCUGGAUAACCGCAUGAAAGUGUGGCUAAUACGGGAUAUUCUGGGUCUGUCGCAUGAUGGGUCUGGGAAAGAUAUUGUUUCGGUGGGGGAUGGGCUCGCGGCCUAUCAGCUUGUUGGUGGGGUGAUGGCCUACCAAGGCGGUGACGGGUAGCCGGCCUGAGAGGGUGGACGGUCUCACUGGGACUGAGACACGGCCCAGACUCCUACGGGAGGCAGCGGUGGGGAAUAUUGCACAAUGGGCGCAAGACUGAUGCAGCGACGCCGCGUGAGGGAUGGAGGCCUUCGGGUUGUGAACCUCUUUCGCCAGUGAAGCAGGCCUGCCUCGUUUGUGGGUGGGUUGACGGUAGCUGGAUAAGAAGCGCCGGCUAACUACGUG